GAUGAACGCUGGCGGCGUGCCUAAUCCAUGCAAGUCGAGCGAACGGACGAGAAGCUUGCUUCUUUGAUGUUAGCGGCGGAAGGGUGAGUAACACGUGGAUAACCUACCUAUAAGACUGGGAUAACUUCGGGAAACCGGAGCUAAUACCGGAUAAUAUUUUGAACCGCAUGGUUCAACAGUGAAAGACGGUCUUUCUGUCACUUAUAGAUUGAUCCGCGCUGCAUUAUCUAGUUUGUAAGGUAACGGCUUACCAAGGCAACGAUGCAUAGCCGACCUGAGAGGGUGAUCGACCACACUGGAACUGAUACACGGUCCAGAAACCUACGGUAGGCAGCAGUAGGGAAUCUUCCGCAAUGGGCGAAAGCCUGACGGAGCAACGCCGCGUGAGUGAUGAAGGUCUUCGGAUCGUAAAACUCUGUUAUUAGGGAAGAACAUAUGUGUAAGUAACUGUGCACAUCUUGACGGUACCUAAUCAGAAAGCCACGGCUAACUACGUG
RNAcentral lists this ribosomal RNA (497 nucleotides) under uncultured bacterium. Its description in RNAcentral is "partial 16S ribosomal RNA". It matches the Rfam family "Bacterial small subunit ribosomal RNA", at positions 28 to 507 of the family's 1533-position model. The record is from RNAcentral.